UACGGAGGGUGCAAGCGUUGUCCGGAAUCACUGGGCGUAAAGGGCGCGUAGGCGGCCUGGUAAGUAGGGGGUGAAAUCCUGCGGCUUAACCGCAGGGCUGCCUUCUAAACUGUCAGGCUUGAGCACGGUAGAGGCAGAUGGAAUUCCCGGUGUAGCGGUGAAAUGCGUAGAGAUCGGGAAGAACAUCGGUGGCGAAGGCGCUCUACUGGACCACAACUGACACUCAGGGACGAAAGCUAGGGGAGCGAAUGGG
This 253-nucleotide ribosomal RNA is filed under the name uncultured bacterium. RNAcentral's name for it is "partial 16S ribosomal RNA". It matches the Rfam family "Bacterial small subunit ribosomal RNA", at positions 524 to 776 of the family's 1533-position model. The record is from RNAcentral.